This 626-nucleotide ribosomal RNA is filed under the name Steinernema sp. MH16.4TH. RNAcentral's name for it is "eukaryotic LSU rRNA". It matches the Rfam family "Eukaryotic large subunit ribosomal RNA", at positions 181 to 814 of the family's 3401-position model. Lineage: Eukaryota; Metazoa; Nematoda; Chromadorea; Rhabditida; Steinernematidae. RNAcentral also lists the same sequence under 2 other names. The record is from RNAcentral.
CGAAUUCUCUUUGACUAGGGAUCCAAAGAGGGUGCUAGACCCUUACGCAUUGUUGACUUUUCGUACGCGUUCGUUUCUUGGAGUAGGGUUGUUUUGGAUCGCAGCCCAAAGUAGGUGGUAUACUUCAUCUAAAGCUAAAUACGACUACGAAUCCGAUAGCAAACAAGUACCGUGAGGGAAAGUUGCAAAGUACUUUGAAGAGAGAGUUCAAGAGGACGUGAAACCGGUAGGGUGGAAGCAGAUAAAGUUGACGAACGUGUGUCGUAUUCAGAACUACAAUUUGUGGUUUGUUUUUACGAUCGAUGUGGGCUGGCGUCUUUGGUUAACUUAGUGUCUGGCGGCAAUGGUGACCCUGCGGAGGGAUAAUCGGUUGUCGUGCGAUGCUUGGUAUGGCUAGAGGUUCGCUGGUCUUAUAGUCAUCGCUUUAUCUGACCCGUCUUGAAACACGGACCAAGGAGUGUAGCGCUUACGCGAGUCUUAGAGUGUGUCAAAACUUUGAGGCGUAACGAAAGUAAAUGUGGAUUUAUUCACUGACUUGGGAUGCGUUGUCUUUUUUGGAUGGCGUUGGACCAUGGUUUUAUCGUAAUCGCUUGCGAUGCGGUGAAAAUAGAGCGUAAGCGGUGCGA